GAUCCUGGCUCAGGAUGAACGCUAGCUACAGGCUUAACACAUGCAAGUCGAGGGGCAGCAUAAUGGAUAGCAAUAUCUAUGGUGGCGACCGGCGCACGGGUGCGUAACGCGUAUGCAACCUACCUUUAACAGGGGGAUAACACUGAGAAAUUGGUACUAAUACCCCAUAAUAUCAUAGAAGGCAUCUUUUAUGGUUGAAAAUUCCGAUGGUUAGAGAUGGGCAUGCGUUGUA
Molecule: ribosomal RNA, 232 nt
Filed under: uncultured bacterium
Lineage: Bacteria
Description: partial 16S ribosomal RNA
Rfam family: Bacterial small subunit ribosomal RNA
Source: RNAcentral